RNAcentral lists this ribosomal RNA (443 nucleotides) under uncultured bacterium. Its description in RNAcentral is "partial 16S ribosomal RNA". It matches the Rfam family "Bacterial small subunit ribosomal RNA", at positions 338 to 795 of the family's 1533-position model. The record is from RNAcentral.
CCUACGGGUGGCAGCAGUGGGGAAUAUUGGGCAAUGGGCGCAAGCCUGACCCAGCAACGCCGCGUGAAGGAAGAAGGCUUUCGGGUUGUAAACUUCUUUUGUCAGGGACGAAGCAAGUGACGGUACCUGACGAAUAAGCCACGGCUAACUACGUGCCAGCAGCCGCGGUAAUACGUAGGUGGCAAGCGUUAUCCGGAUUUACUGGGUGUAAAGGGCGUGUAGGCGGGACUGCAAGUCAGAUGUGAAAACCACGGGCUCAACCUGUGGCCUGCAUUUGAAACUGUAGUUCUUGAGUACUGGAGAGGCAGACGGAAUUCCUAGUGUAGCGGUGAAAUGCAUAGAUAUCACGCAGAACCCCGAUUGCGAAGGCAGCAUACCGGUGCACAACUGACGCUCAGGCACGAAAGCGUGGGUAUCGAACAGGAUUAGAUACCCUUGUAGUC